RNAcentral lists this ribosomal RNA (652 nucleotides) under uncultured bacterium. RNAcentral describes it as "bacterial SSU rRNA". It matches the Rfam family "Bacterial small subunit ribosomal RNA", at positions 202 to 842 of the family's 1533-position model. The record is from RNAcentral.
AAAGGUGGCUAUGCUACCGCUUUUGGAUGGGCCCGCGGCGCAUUAGCUAGUUGGUGGGGUAAAGGCUUACCAAGGCAAUGAUGCGUAGCCGAACUGAGAGGUUGAUCGGCCACAUUGGGACUGAGACACGGCCCAAACUCCUACGGGAGGCAGCAGUAGGGAAUCUUCCACAAUGGGCGAAAGCCUGAUGGAGCAACGCCGCGUGGGUAAAGAAGGUCUUCGGAUCGUAAAACCCUGUUGUUAGAGAAGAAAGUGCGUGAGAGUAACUGUUCACGUUUCGACGGUAUCUAACCAGAAAGCCACGGCUAACUACGUGCCAGCAGCCGCGGUAAUACGUAGGUGGCAAGCGUUAUCCGGAUUUAUUGGGCGUAAAGGGAACGCAGGCGGUCUUUUAAGUCUGAUGUGAAAGCCUUCGGCUUAACCGGAGUAGUGCAUUGGAAACUGGGAGACUUGAGUGCAGAAGAGGAGAGUGGAACUCCAUGUGUAGCGGUGAAAUGCGUAGAUAUAUGGAAGAACACCAGUGGCGAAAGCGGCUCUCUGGUCUGUAACUGACGCUGAGGUUCGAAAGCGUGGGUAGCAAACAGGAUUAGAUACCCUGGUAGUCCACGCCGUAAACGAUGAAUGCUAAGUGUUGGAGGGUUUCCGCCCUUCA